AACGGCGAGUGAAGCGGGAAGAGCUCAAAUUUGAAAUCUUCAAGGUUUUACCUUGACGAAUUGUAGUUUAAAGAAGUGUUUUCUGUUGAAGUUUUGGUAAAAGUUCUUUGGAAUAGGACAUCAUAGAGGGUGAGAAUCCCGUAUUUGACCAUUAUUUUCAGCUGUGUGAUACACUUUCAAAGAGUCGGAUUGUUUGGGAAUGCAGUCCAAAAUGGGUGGUAAAUUUCAUCUAAAGCUAAAUAUUGGCGAGAGACCGAUAGCGAACAAGUACCGUGAGGGAAAGAUGAAAAGAACUUUGAAAAGAGAGUUAAACAGUACGUGAAAUUGUCAAAAGGGAAGCGUUUGACACCAGUGUUGUUUUCUCGAAAAUCAAUUAAAAAGAGUUGGAUUUUGUGUUGUAUUGACCUUAACAGCUUUCUGCACUCUUUUCCUGCUUUUUUUAAUGCACUUUUCGUUUAACAAGUCAACAUCAGUUUCUUUUGUUGUAAAAGGGUCAUUGGAAGGUGGCUUUCUUUUCGGAGAAAGUGUUUAUAGCCUUUGAUCUCUGCAAUCGGAGAGACUGAGGUCUGCAGCGUAGAUCCUUCGGGGUUAGAUACAUUUGUGCUAAGUUAUAACUUUUCAUAGACAACUUGUUGACUAUGUUUAGUCAUGUAGCUUACUCGCUUAUGCUAUUUACCUAC
Molecule: ribosomal RNA, 680 nt
Filed under: Piromyces sp.
Lineage: Eukaryota; Fungi; Neocallimastigomycota; Neocallimastigomycetes; Neocallimastigales; Neocallimastigaceae
Description: partial large subunit ribosomal RNA
Rfam family: Eukaryotic large subunit ribosomal RNA
Source: RNAcentral